GGAGAAUUAGCUCAGCUGGGAGAGCAUCUGCCUUACAAGCAGAGGGUCGGCGGUUCGAACCCGUCGUUCUCCACCA
Molecule: transfer RNA, 76 nt
Filed under: Staphylococcus aureus
Lineage: Bacteria; Bacillati; Bacillota; Bacilli; Caryophanales; Staphylococcaceae
Also listed under: 1 other name
Description: tRNA-Val
Rfam family: tRNA
About the family: Transfer RNA (tRNA) molecules are approximately 80 nucleotides in length. Their secondary structure includes four short double-helical elements and three loops (D, anti-codon, and T loops). Further hydrogen bonds mediate the characteristic L-shaped molecular structure. tRNAs have two regions of fundamental functional importance: the anti-codon, which is responsible for specific mRNA codon recognition, and the 3' end, to which the tRNAs corresponding amino acid is attached (by aminoacyl-tRNA synthetases). tRNAs cope with the degeneracy of the genetic code in two manners: having more than one tRNA (with a specific anti-codon) for a particular amino acid; and 'wobble' base-pairing, i.e. permitting non-standard base-pairing at the 3rd anti-codon position.
Source: RNAcentral